This 216-nucleotide long non-coding RNA is filed under the name Mytilus galloprovincialis (Mediterranean mussel). The record is from RNAcentral. Lineage: Eukaryota; Metazoa; Mollusca; Bivalvia; Mytilida; Mytilidae.
GGCCCCUGUAUUUUAACAGCCUCACUUGACCAGGGAAAAUAUCAAAUGAGUUUAUACAAUAGUUUUACAUACAUAAUUAUAUUUAAAUAACCAAUACACCUGAUAAGCAUCACUGUAUAAAAUCACUAUCGUAUAUCCGGUUCACUGAACAAACAUGUGUUGAUUUAAACUGGAAAAACUUUAAAAUUUGAUUGCAAAAAUAAGUUAUAGUUUGAC